ACCUUAAAGCAAUGGCAAUAUCGUAACCAAUGAAGGCCUCCUGAGGUGUGAUUAUUGCUAGUUGAAAACUUUGAGGAGCUUUAAUUUAUUUUUUCAGAAAAUUGGUACCUAUUAGUGACGUAUGACUAUUGU
Molecule: small nuclear RNA, 132 nt
Filed under: Rhodnius prolixus
Lineage: Eukaryota; Metazoa; Arthropoda; Insecta; Hemiptera; Reduviidae
Description: U4 spliceosomal RNA
Rfam family: U4 spliceosomal RNA
About the family: U4 small nuclear RNA (U4 snRNA) is a component of the major U2-dependent spliceosome. The structure of U4 snRNA from yeast and human has been reported. U4 snRNA presents a k-turn RNA motif in the 5p-SL related to recognition of Snu13 protein.
Source: Rfam by way of RNAcentral